GUGGGGAAUAUUGGACAAUGGGGGAAACCCUGAUCCAGCAAUGCCGCGUGAGUGAAGAAGGCCCUAGGGUUGUAAAGCUCUUUCAGAUGUGAAGAUGAUGACUGUAACAUCAGAAGAAGCCCCGGCUAACUCCGUGCCAGCAGCCGCGGUAAUACGGAGGGGGCUAGCGUUGUUCGGAUUUACUGGGCGUAAAGCGCACGUAGGCGGCGAAGCCAGUUAGAAGUGAAAGCCCCGGGCUCAACCUGGGAACUGCUUUUAAUACUGCUUUGCUUGAGUUCGGAAGAGGGUAGUGGAAUUUCCAGUGUAGAGGUGAAAUUCGUAGAUAUUGGAAAGAACACCAGUGGCGAAGGCGACUACCUGGUCCGAUACUGACGCUGAGGUGCGAAAGCGUGGGGAGCAAACAGGAUUAGAUACCCCGGUAGUCC
Molecule: ribosomal RNA, 425 nt
Filed under: uncultured bacterium
Lineage: Bacteria
Description: bacterial SSU rRNA
Rfam family: Bacterial small subunit ribosomal RNA
Source: RNAcentral